Molecule: non-coding RNA, 311 nt
Organism: Vicia faba (fava bean)
Lineage: Eukaryota; Viridiplantae; Streptophyta; Magnoliopsida; Fabales; Fabaceae
Source: the annotation of a GenBank genome assembly
GCAGAUAUGAUCAUUGCAUUUGUUAUAUUGAUUACAUACGCAAAUGUGAUCAUUGCAUUUGUUAUAUUGAUUACAUGACUAAGGUCUUAAAUUGUGAUCAUUGGUGUUGCAAAUGUGAUCAUUGCGAUUGUUUGUUGUUGCUGAAUUUUAAUUGGGAGGUGCUUGAAGUAUGCUUUGCUAGUCUAGCAAAUGCGAACAUUGCAAUGAAUUUUAGUUGUUUGAAAUAUACUGUUAAAAAGCACAUAAGUAAGUUGAAUUUUGAGAUUCAGACAUUAAUUUUAGUUGAGAGGUGUUUGAAAUAUAUUGUUUAA